Molecule: ribosomal RNA, 535 nt
Filed under: Calliclopius nigripes
Lineage: Eukaryota; Metazoa; Arthropoda; Insecta; Hemiptera; Reduviidae
Description: partial 16S ribosomal RNA
Rfam family: Bacterial large subunit ribosomal RNA
Source: RNAcentral
CAAAAACAUGUCCUUUUGUAUUAAAUAUAAGGUUUAACCUGCCCAAUGAUUUUUUUUGAAUGGCCGCGGUAUUUUAACUGUGCUAAGGUAGCAUAAUCAUUUGUCUUUUAAUUGAAGGCUGGAAUGAAAGGUUGGACGAGGUAAUUACUUUCUUUAAUAUAGUUUAUGAAAUUAAUUUUUUAGUUAAAAAGCUAAAAUGUUUUUAUUAGACGAGAAGACCCUAUAGAUCUUUAUACUUAUUUUGAUUUAUUAAUUUGGUAUUAUAACUUAUUUUUAUCUUUAUAAGUAUUAAAUUGGGGUGAUUUUAGAAUUUUAUAAACUUCUAAUUUUAUAAUUUCAUUAAUUUAUGUUUAUUUGAUCUUUUUUUAAUGAUUAAAAGUUUAAGUUACCUUAGGGAUAACAGCGUAAUUUCUUUGGAGAGCUCUUAUCGAUAAAGGAGUUUGCGACCUCGAUGUUGGAUUAAAAUAAGUAAUUGGUGUAGCAAUUAAUUUACUAGGUCUGUUCGACCUUUAAUAUUUUACAUGAUCUGAGUUCA